GCGGGGGUUGCCAAGCCAGGUCAAAGGCGCGAGAUCAAGAACUGCGAUCGGACGCGAUGCUCAGAUCGGCUCUGUGAGAAACCUCGUCUCUUAGGGGUUCGUGGGUUCAAAUCCCACCCCCCGCA
Molecule: transfer RNA, 125 nt
Filed under: Thaumarchaeota archaeon RBG_16_49_8
Lineage: Archaea; Thermoproteati; Nitrososphaerota
Description: tRNA-OTHER
Rfam family: tRNA
About the family: Transfer RNA (tRNA) molecules are approximately 80 nucleotides in length. Their secondary structure includes four short double-helical elements and three loops (D, anti-codon, and T loops).
Source: RNAcentral